RNAcentral lists this ribosomal RNA (253 nucleotides) under uncultured bacterium. Its description in RNAcentral is "partial 16S ribosomal RNA". It matches the Rfam family "Bacterial small subunit ribosomal RNA", at positions 524 to 776 of the family's 1533-position model. The record is from RNAcentral.
UACGGGGGGGGCGAGCGUUGUUCGGAAUUACUGGGCGUAAAGGGCGCGUAGGCGGUCUGCUAAGUUGGAUGUGAAAACUCUGGGCUUAACCCAGAGCCUGCAUUCAAUACUGACAGGCUAGAGUUCUGGAGGGGAUAGCGGAAUUCCUGGUGUAGCGGUGAAAUGCGUAGAUAUCAGGAGGAAUACCGGUGGCGAAGGCGGCUAUCUGGACAGAGUCUGACGCUGAGGCGCGAAAGCUAGGGGAGCAAACAGG